GGCUCAGGCUGGCGCGCACGCGUUUCGCGUCGCGCGUCAACUGGUCCAUCCUCGCAGCGAUGCCGUAACCAUUCAGUUGGUGCGGCGGAACUGCGUCCUUUACUGUGAAAAAAUUAGAGUGUUUAAAGCAGGCCUCGCGCUUGAAUACAUUAGCAUGGAAUAAUAAGAUAGGACUUUGGUGCUAUUUUGUUGGUUGCGUAUCGAAGUA
RNAcentral lists this ribosomal RNA (208 nucleotides) under uncultured fungus. Its description in RNAcentral is "partial small subunit ribosomal RNA". The stretch from base 87 to 208 matches the Rfam family "Eukaryotic small subunit ribosomal RNA", at positions 739 to 864 of the family's 1831-position model. The record is from RNAcentral. Lineage: Eukaryota; Fungi.